AGUCGAGCGAAUGGAUUAAGAGCUUGCUCUUAUGAAGUUAGCGGCGGACGGGUGAGUAACACGUGGGUAACCUGCCCAUAAGACUGGGAUAACUCCGGGAAACCGGGGCUAAUACCGGAUAAUAUUUUGAACUGCAUAGUUCGAAAUUGAAAGGCGGCUUCGGCUGUCACUUAUGGAUGGACCCGCGUCGCAUUAGCUAGUUGGUGAGGUAACGGCUCACCAAGGCAACGAUGCGUAGCCGACCUGAGAGGGUGAUCGGCCACACUGGGACUGAGACACGGCCCAGACUCCUACGGGAGGCAGCAGUAGGGAAUCUUCCGCAAUGGACGAAAGUCUGACGGAGCAACGCCGCGUGAGUGAUGAAGGCUUUCGGGUCGUAAAACUCUGUUGUUAGGGAAGAACAAGUGCUAGUUGAAUAAGCUGGCACCUUGACGGUACCUAACCAGAAAGCCACGGCUAACUACGUGCCAGCAGCCGCGGUAAUACGUAGGUGGCAAGCGUUAUCCGGAAUUAUUGGGCGUAAAGCGCGCGCAGGUGGUUUCUUAAGUCUGAUGUGAAAGCCCACGGCUCAACCGUGGAGGGUCAUUGGAAACUGGGAGACUUGAGUGCAGAAGAGGAAAGUGGAAUUCCAUGUGUAGCGGUGAAAUGCGUAGAGAUAUGGAGGAACACCAGUGGCGAAGGCGACUUUCUGGUCUGUAACUGACACUGAGG
This 711-nucleotide ribosomal RNA is filed under the name Bacillus sp. (in: firmicutes). RNAcentral describes it as "bacterial SSU rRNA". It matches the Rfam family "Bacterial small subunit ribosomal RNA", at positions 60 to 751 of the family's 1533-position model. The record is from RNAcentral. Lineage: Bacteria; Bacillati; Bacillota; Bacilli; Caryophanales; Bacillaceae.